GACGAACGCUGGCGGCGUGCCUAAUACAUGCAAGUCGAGCGCUGAAAGUAGGUACUUGUUCCACCUGCGUGAGCAGCGAACGGGUGAGUAACGCGUGGGGAACCUGCCUUUGAGCGGGGGACAACUUCUGGAAACGAAUGCUAAUACCGCAUAAAAAAUUUAAACACAAGGUUUAAGAUUGAAAGACGCUAUUGCAUCACUUAAUGAUGAGCUCGCGUUGUAUUAGGCAGUUGGUGAGGGUAACGCUCAACAAGGCGAUGAUACCUAACCCACCUGGGAGGGGUGUCGGCCAAAAUGGGACUGGGACACGGCCCCAACUCCUUCGGGGGGCAGCAGGAGGGGAUCUUCGGCCAUGGAGGAAAGUCUGACCGAACAACGCCGGGUGGGUGAAGGAGGUUUUCGGGUCGGAAAACUCUGUUGAUAGGGAAGAACGUUGGGGAGAGUUAAAAGCGCAUCAAUUGACGGUAACUACCCAGAAAGGGACGGCUAACUACGUG
RNAcentral lists this ribosomal RNA (497 nucleotides) under uncultured bacterium. RNAcentral's name for it is "partial 16S ribosomal RNA". It matches the Rfam family "Bacterial small subunit ribosomal RNA", at positions 28 to 507 of the family's 1533-position model. The record is from RNAcentral.